This 76-nucleotide ribosomal RNA is filed under the name Nomascus leucogenys (northern white-cheeked gibbon). The record is from RNAcentral. Lineage: Eukaryota; Metazoa; Chordata; Mammalia; Primates; Hylobatidae.
GUCUACGGCCAUACCGCCCUGGGCAUGCCUGAUAUCUAGAGGUUAAGCAGGGUCAGGCCCGGCUGGUACGUGGAUG